Molecule: ribosomal RNA, 468 nt
Filed under: uncultured bacterium
Lineage: Bacteria
Description: partial 16S ribosomal RNA
Rfam family: Bacterial small subunit ribosomal RNA
Source: RNAcentral
GACGAACGCUGGCGGCGUGCUUAACACAUGCCAGUCGAACGGAAAGGCCCUGCUUUUGUGGGGUGCUCGAGUGGCGAACGGGUGAGUAACACGUGAGUAACCUGCCCUUGACUUUGGGAUAACUUCAGGAAACUGGGGCUAAUACCGGAUAGGAGCUCCUGCUGCAUGGUGGGGGUUGGAAAGUUUCGGCGGUUGGGGAUGGACUCGCGGCUUAUCAGCUUGUUGGUGGGGUAGUGGCUUACCAAGGCUUUGACGGGUAGCCGGUCUGAGAGGGUGACCGGCCACAUUGGGACUGAGAUACGGCCCAGACUCCUACGGGAGGCAGCAGUGGGGAAUAUUGCACAAUGGGCGGAAGCCUGAUGCAGCAACGCCGCGUGCGGGAUGACGGCCUUCGGGUUGUAAACCGCUUUCGCCUGUGACGAAGCGUGAGUGACGGUAAUGGGUAAAGAAGCACCGGCUAACUACGUG